UGGUAAGAAGCAAUAUUUGCACUCAGUUUCGACCUGAACUUAAGAUGAUAGUCAUCCUUACUAU
RNAcentral lists this transfer RNA (64 nucleotides) under Phyllomimus sinicus. Its description in RNAcentral is "tRNA-Arg". The record is from RNAcentral. Lineage: Eukaryota; Metazoa; Arthropoda; Insecta; Orthoptera; Tettigoniidae.